This 255-nucleotide ribosomal RNA is filed under the name uncultured bacterium. RNAcentral describes it as "partial 16S ribosomal RNA". It matches the Rfam family "Bacterial small subunit ribosomal RNA", at positions 524 to 776 of the family's 1533-position model. The record is from RNAcentral.
UACGUAGGGUGCGAGCGUUAAUCGGAAUUACUGGGCGUAAAGCGUGCGCAGGCGGUCUGUUAAGACCGAUGUGAAAUCCCCGGGCUUAACCUGGGAACUGCAUUGGUGACUGGCAGGCUUUGAGUGUGGCAGAGGGAGGUAGAAUUCCACGUGUAGCAGUGAAAUGCGUAGAGAUGUGGAGGAAUACCGAUGGCGAAGGCAGCCUCCUGGGCCAAACACUGACGCUCAUGCACGAAAGCGUGGGGAGCAAACAGG